AUGUAAUCAUUUUAAGUAAAUGUUUCGUUCAAAAAAAUACUCUGGGGGCCCAGUGUGCAAUGGCUGCAAACAGCAGCUUCCCUGGUAGUGAUGCAGCCUGUUUGUUGUAUGGGUUGCUCUGAGGGACCUUGGAGACAGUA
This is a small nucleolar RNA of Piliocolobus tephrosceles (Ugandan red Colobus), 140 nucleotides long. Its record names the gene SNORA70. It matches the Rfam family "Small nucleolar RNA SNORA70". Rfam says of the family: snoRNA U70 seems to be exclusive to mammals and is a member of the H/ACA class of snoRNA which contain H (ANANNA) and ACA box motifs. H/ACA box snoRNAs are involved in the conversion of uridines to pseudouridines (5-ribosyluracil) a constituent of structural RNAs (transfer, ribosomal, small nuclear, and small nucleolar). NCBI's taxonomy places the organism in Eukaryota, Metazoa, Chordata, Mammalia, Primates, Cercopithecidae. The record is from Ensembl.